ACCACCGUCUCUUGUCUCUCCCCCUCUCUCUUUGAGUAGUGAGAACAGUACGUAGUAGCUUUUUGUGGUUGUACCCUUCUUUUUCAACCUCUUCUUCCUUGCUUUUUAGUACUUGUAUUUAAUAAUCUCUAUCUCUCUCUCAAUAAUCUGUAUAUAUAAAAGGAGGUAUAAAACACCCUAACACAAGGCUUGUAGUGUUGGGAUUUUGGUGAAAGAGAAGACCAUAUUUUGGUUAAGGGGUAGUCGUGGAAGAAGCUGAAAAUCAGGAAAGCUAAAGUGUCGUAUCUUCCAUUCUAAUUACUUGGUUAAUUGAAACUUUGUAUGUCUCUCCAAAAAACAGAGGUUCUUUUUUAGCCUUUGACCGACCCAUUGUCCUCUAGAUUUUCUUUAAGGGAGCAUUCUCUCUAGCACUCAUGAGGUUUGCGAAGAUUUAUAAAGCAAACCUUCAAUGGUAUCUUAUUGAACGUCAUCCAUUCAAAAGGAUUAUUUACAGACGUGUUUUUAAGUUUCAAACAAUAAUAUUCAGAUGUCGUGAUGACAAUGAAAAAGCAAGAAUGCAUGGACACUUUUGCUUUAUCUCACCAGAUGUAGCGUUUUUAUUCUCGACAAGCUUCAAGAAUCUCACGAGAAGUUGGGCAUCAAAUGUUGUGCUGUAACACUUUUGGAAAAUGAUGAAACUACUAAUGUAGGAUUAUUUGUUACCAAGAAAGCCAACGAACGUGGUCCAGCUAAUCAUGUACUAGCGCAGACAUACUGCUUGAGAGCAUUUUGUAAUAAAGAGAAUGAACCUAAUUCAAAGGAUUGCAUGGAAGAUCAUUACUUUUACUUGUAUGAGUUGAUAAUCAAAUGUUGUAUAUGGAGAGACUAUUCACUGGAGGAGUGUAUGAUUAUGCUUUGGCAAUCUAAAAGCCUUAGCCAUUCUUUCUGCACUUCUCCAAUCAAUGAUGUGUUUCUCAAGGCAUUUGCAAAGCGCUGCCCCCUAUAUAACUCCAUGGAGUACUGAAUAGACUGUUUCACCAUGUUGAAACCGAUUGAUGUUGGUUUUUGGAAUAAUAUGUCGAUAUUUCCUACUGUUCCUUCCCAGCAUUACAACGAUCUUGAUGUUACCGGGCAAGCAGAUGCAAAAGGGUCACGUGUCUGCAAAAUCAGAUUACCUUGUAGCCAAUAUGGCAAUAUACAUUAGAUUUGGAAGAAAGGAUGAUUGCAGAAGGAUUUAUGACUGAUGUACAUCUAAAAAUUCUCUUGAUUGUAAUUUAGGAAUAAUGAAAUUGUAAUCUUUCUAAGUAAUCAUUUUUAUGACAAUUUUUACCUAGGUGAUGAAGUAAAUGUUUGUUGUAUCACCUUAUAGAACUAGUAAUCUUUUGAACUAGAACUCUUCAUAAGUGUAUCGGCUUUUUGUAAAAAGUUUUACAUUUUUUCGCAUCA
Molecule: long non-coding RNA, 1425 nt
Organism: Erigeron canadensis
Lineage: Eukaryota; Viridiplantae; Streptophyta; Magnoliopsida; Asterales; Asteraceae
Exons: 5
Source: RefSeq, a predicted model, not a curated record